AGGAAUACCGGUGGCGAAGGCGGCCCCCUGGACAGAUACUGACACUCAGAUGCGAAAGCGUGGGGAGCAAACAGGAUUAGAUACCCUGGUAGUCCACGCCGUAAACGAUGUCUACUUGGAGGUUGUGCCCUAGAGGCGUGGCUUUCGGAGCUAACGCGUUAAGUAGACCGCCUGGGGAGUACGGUCGCAAGAUUAAAACUCAAAUGAAUUGACGGGGGCCCGCACAAGCGGUGGAGCAUGUGGUUUAAUUCGAUGCAACGCGAA
This 264-nucleotide ribosomal RNA is filed under the name Vibrio cholerae. RNAcentral describes it as "partial 16S ribosomal RNA". It matches the Rfam family "Bacterial small subunit ribosomal RNA", at positions 702 to 965 of the family's 1533-position model. The record is from RNAcentral. Lineage: Bacteria; Pseudomonadati; Pseudomonadota; Gammaproteobacteria; Vibrionales; Vibrionaceae.